AGAGUUUGAUCCUGGCUCAGGAUGAACGCUGGCUACACGCUUAACACAUGCAAGUCGAGGGGCAACAAGGACUUAGCUUGCUAAAGCCGAUGGCGACCGGCGCAUGGGUGAUUAACACCUAUCCUACCUGACGGCUACUCUUGGACUGCCUUAUGAAAGGAAGAUUAAUACAAGAUGGCAUCAUGAGUUCGCAUGUUCACAUGAUUAAAGGUAUUCCGGUAGACGAUGGGGAUGCGUUCCAUUAGAUAGGAGGCCGGGUCACCGCCCACCUAAUCUUCGAUGGAUAGGGUUUAUGAGAGGAAGGUCCCCCACAUUGGAAAUGAGACACGGUCCAAACUCGUCCGGGAGGCAGCUGUGAGGAAUAUUGGUCAAUGGGCGCAGGCCUGAACCAACCAAGUCGCGUGAAGGAUGACUGCCGUAUGGGUUGUAAACUUUUUUUAUAAAGGAAUUAAGUCGGGUAUGUAUACCUGUUUGCAUGUACUUUAUGAAUAUGCGAUCGGCUAACUCCGUGCCAGCAGCCGCGGUAAUACGGAGGAUCCGAGCGUUAUCGAGGAUUUAUUGGGUUUAGAGAGGGAGAGUAGAUGGAUGUUUGUAGUCAGUUGUGAUAAGUUUGGGUGCUCACCCUGUAAAAUCGUCAUGUUGAUUGCUGGAUAUCUUGAGUGCAGUGGAGGCAGGCGGAAUUCGUGGUGUAGCGGUGAAAUGCUUAGAUAUCACGAACAACUCCGAUUGCGAAGGCAGCCUGCUAAGUUGCAACUGACAUGGAGGCUCGAGAAGUGUGGGUAUCACACGAGGAUUAGAUACCCUGGUAGUCCACACGGUAAACGAUGAAUACUCGCGGUGUGUGAUAUCACAGCAAGCGGCCAAGCGAAAGCGUUAAGUAUUCCACUUGGGGAGUACGCCGGCAACGGUGAAAACUCAAAAGGAAUUGACGGGGGCCCGCCCAAGCCGAGGAACAUGUGGUUUAAUUUGAUGAUACGCGAGGAACCUUACCCGGGUUUGAAUAGCAACUGAAUGAUGUGGAGACACGUCAGCCGCCAGUCAGUUGUGAAGGUGACGCAUGGUUGUCGUCAGUUCUCACCGUGAGGUGUCGGAUUAAGUGCCAUAUCGAGCGCAACCCUCAUCCAUAGUUACCAUCAGGUUAUCAUGGGCACUCUGUCGAGACUGCCGUCGUAAGAUGUGAGGAAGGUGGGGAUGACGUCAAAUCAUCAUGCCCCUUAUGAUCUGGGCGACACACGUGCUACAAUGGCGGUCACCGAGUGAGGCGAACCCGCGAGGGGGAGCCAACCACAAAAAGGCCGUCCCAGUUCGGACUGCAGUCUGCAACCCGCCUACACGAAGCUGGAAUCGCUAGUAAUCGCGAAUCAGCAUGUCGCGGUGAAUACGUUCCCGGGUCUUGCACUCACCGCCCGUCAAG
Molecule: ribosomal RNA, 1414 nt
Filed under: uncultured bacterium
Lineage: Bacteria
Description: partial 16S ribosomal RNA
Rfam family: Bacterial small subunit ribosomal RNA
Source: RNAcentral